AGCGAACGCUGGCGGCAGGCUUAACACAUGCAAGUCGAACGGGCAUCUUCGGAUGUCAGUGGCAGACGGGUGAGUAACACGUGGGAACGUACCCUUCGGUUCGGAAUAACUCAGGGAAACUUGAGCUAAUACCGGAUACGCCCUUUUGGGGAAAGGUUUACUGCCGAAGGAUCGGCCCGCGUCUGAUUAGCUUGUUGGUGGGGUAACGGCCUACCAAGGCGACGAUCAGUAGCUGGUCUGAGAGGAUGAUCAGCCACACUGGGACUGAGACACGGCCCAGACUCCUACGGGAGGCAGCAGUGGGGAAUAUUGGACAAUGGGCGCAAGCCUGAUCCAGCCAUGCCGGGUGAGUGAUGAAGGCCUUAGGGUUGUAAAGCUCUUUUGUCCGGGACGAUAAUGACGGUACCGGAAGAAUAAGCCCCGGCUAACUUCGUG
RNAcentral lists this ribosomal RNA (435 nucleotides) under uncultured bacterium. RNAcentral describes it as "partial 16S ribosomal RNA". It matches the Rfam family "Bacterial small subunit ribosomal RNA", at positions 29 to 507 of the family's 1533-position model. The record is from RNAcentral.